Molecule: long non-coding RNA, 2105 nt
Organism: Gopherus evgoodei (Goodes thornscrub tortoise)
Lineage: Eukaryota; Metazoa; Chordata; Testudines; Testudinidae
Exons: 4
Source: RefSeq, a predicted model, not a curated record
AGCAGCCCCCCAGUAUAGCCACACCCAACAGGCCCCACCCCUGGCCCAGCCGCACCCCAGCAGGCCCAGCCCACUGGCCCAGCCACACCCCAUCAGGCCCCGCCCUGGCCCUACAUGGUGGGCAAGCCACGUCACACCCCACCCCACAGCCACGCUUCAGCAGGCCAUGCCCUGGGCACAUUCAGCCCUGGCAGAGGGCACCUCAUGGCAAGGCCACUUCCCGGCAGUCCCCUUCCUUGCAUAGCCACACCCAUCGUCUCUGAGUGGGAGAUGGAAAGGCCAUGGCCCCCCGCACAGCCAUGUCAAUCAUUGCCAAAGGCUGGAUAAGCCACACCCCCGAAGCCAACCUGGGAAGCCCCGCCUCUUUCAGAGCCACACCACAACCGGCAGAGGGCAGCACAUCUUCCAUUCCUCCCACGCUGCUGAUAGGCCUUGCUCCAUCAAGCCGCCUGGAGGCCCGCCCCCAAGCUAAGCAGAAUUUGAACCCCAGGCCCACGAGGAUGGGCACUGGCCAUGGAUCACCUCAUCCCACAAGAAGACGAGGCUGUGGGAGGCAGAGGGGAAGGGCUGCUGGGCUAAGACCUGCCUUCAAUGGGGUGUGGCUCUCUGGGCUAAGCCCCAGCCCCUGGGCACAGCAAAGGCGGGGUGUGGCUUAUUUUUUCCAAAACUCAUGAUGAAAUGUCAUAGGAUCACAAAGUGUCUUCAGCUCGGGCUGGGGGUGGGGGGUGGAAAUGGAGCAGGUGGAGAUAAUUGGGGGGAAGGGGAGAAAGGGGGUUAUUACAAGCACAAAUAAGGGAGGUAUUUUAUACUCAUGCUGAUGUGUUGCUGUUUAAACACAGUGGGGCUCUCUCCAGACUGGUAUCAACAAUCCUCACCUCCAACACUAUGUGGCCGUUAAACAGCCCUUGCACCCAGCCCUAGAGGUGGCUGCAUCUCAGUGCAGGGUGAGGGAUUCCUGUAUAAACAACCCCUGUGCCCUGCCCAGAGGUGGCUGCAUCACAGCACUAGGGUGGGAUCUCUGUAUAAACAGCCCCUGUGCGCCACCACAGACACAAUGGGGUGGGAACAGGCUGGGAGGCCUUUCCCCCCUAGGGGGUGCCGGUGUGUGGAGGGGUGAUUGCCUGCUUAUGGGGAUCCUACUGUGUUCCACAAUGUGUCUUGUCUUUUAUUUUGCUUUUUAUACACUCAGUUAUGCUGAAGCAUUAAGUAUUUAUUGUAAUUUUGGGCUCUUUUAAGGAGCGUUCAUGACAGCACUCUGGGCUCUGUUCCAGCUUGGAGACAGGAUCGGGAAGAGGGAAAAGCCAGAGAGCCUGGGGGCCAAGAAUAAUGGGUCCUGUGGGGGGAGAGGGAUUGUAGGCAGAGCUUUCUGGUCUGAAAGAGGACAGCAAUAACGCUGAUGAGACAGAAGAGCUCAGGACAUGAGACCAAGGCCUGGCCCUCUAAGGGGUGCCAGCUCGGAUCCAUCCCAAGCACUGGCUGGCUCAAACUCUGGGCAGUGGGCCAGGGGCCUUUCCCUUCUGGGGGCGCUGGUCCCAGGUUACUUGCUGGGGGAGCAGGCAGGGCCCGGGUGGGCUUUUUCUUGCUGAGCUAGGAUUGUAUCUGGGUCACAUUUUUUUUCUUUUACUGUAUAAGCCCAAAAUGCUUCUUCACUCUCACUGCUGUCAGGUGCCCAGCGGGCACUGGCACGCACGGGUCAUUUCUACCCGGCGUGUGCUCACUGCUCUCCUUCGUCUUCCAUGGAGCGUUGCGGGAAAAUGUUCACACCAGGGCAAUAAAUGGGGAUCGCUUCAGGGUCCGAGGCCGGAAGAGACCGUUGUGAUCUCUCAUCGGACCGCCUGCAUAGAGCAGGCCAGAACUGCCCCAAAUAAUUCCUGGAGCAGAGCUUUCAGCAUGGGGCUGCAGGGAUAGACAGAGGGGUCUGUAUGGGGAUGGAGCGAGAGCAGAUGCAAGGAUGGAGAAAGAGAAUCCAGUGGGAAAAGUCAGUGGGAGCAGAGCCACAUGGAACAUCCUGGAGCAGGGAGGGGCAGUGUGGAGACCUCUCAGGAGAAAGACCCGCUGGAGAAGAGCUGCAAAUUUUUCAAGCCUCCCUACUCCAUCCUGAAGGC